This 261-nucleotide ribosomal RNA is filed under the name uncultured archaeon. RNAcentral's name for it is "partial 16S ribosomal RNA". It matches the Rfam family "Archaeal small subunit ribosomal RNA", at positions 748 to 1008 of the family's 1478-position model. The record is from RNAcentral.
CAGCCGUAAACUAUGCGCGUUAGGUGUAUCGGUGACCACGAGUUACCGAGGUGCCGAAGGGAAACCGUGAAACGUGCCGCCUGGGAAGUACGGUCGCAAGGCUGAAACUUAAAGGAAUUGGCGGGGGAGCACCACAACAGGUGGAGCCUGCGGUUUAAUUGGACUCAACGCCGGGAAGCUCACCGGAUAGGACAGCAAUAUGAAGGCCAGGCUGAAGACUUUGCCGGAUUAGCUGAGAGGAGGUGCAUGGCGUCAGUGACU